Selaginella moellendorffii is the source of this 174-nucleotide long non-coding RNA. RefSeq lists it as uncharacterized. NCBI's taxonomy places the organism in Eukaryota, Viridiplantae, Streptophyta, Lycopodiopsida, Selaginellales, Selaginellaceae. The transcript is spliced from 2 exons. The record is from RefSeq and is a predicted model, not a curated record.
GAGAAACUCUAGUGGAGGGAGAAAGCCAAGAACAGCAAGAAAGAACUUGCAUGGAUGGAAAUGCGAACAAAGAAAAGAGAGAUGCCAAGGAAAACGAUGGAAUUAGGAAGGAAACUUCGCCAAAAAAAUUCUGUAUGCUAAUCUCUUUGAAUUUGACCUAUUAUUUGGGGCCAA